UCCCAGACUCCUACGGGAGGCAGCAGUGAGGAAUAUUGGUCAAUGGCCGGAAGGCUGAACCAGCCAAGCCGCGUGAAGGACGAAGGUGCCAAGCAUUGUAAACUUCUUUUGUCAAGGGACAAAAUCAGGCUCGAGAGCCUGACCGAGGGUACUUGAAGAAAAAGCAUCGGCUAACUCCGUGCCAGCAGCCGCGGUAAUACGGAGGAUGCGAGCGUUAUCCGGAUUUAUUGGGUUUAAAGGGUGCGUAGGCUGUGAGGUAAGUCAGCGGUGAAAUGCCCCCGCUCAACGGGGUGAAGUGCCAUUGAUACUGCCUUGCUGGAAUGCGGAUGCCGUGGGAGGAAUGUGUGGUGUAGCGGUGAAAUGCAUAGAUAUCACACAGAACACCGAUUGCGAAGGCAUCUCACGAAUCCGCGAUUGACGCUGAUGCACGAAAGCGUGGGUAUCAAACAGGAUUAGAUACCCGAGUA
Molecule: ribosomal RNA, 467 nt
Filed under: uncultured bacterium
Lineage: Bacteria
Description: bacterial SSU rRNA
Rfam family: Bacterial small subunit ribosomal RNA
Source: RNAcentral